Molecule: long non-coding RNA, 237 nt
Organism: Monodelphis domestica (gray short-tailed opossum)
Lineage: Eukaryota; Metazoa; Chordata; Mammalia; Didelphimorphia; Didelphidae
Source: RefSeq, a predicted model, not a curated record
AUUUUUAAUCUGACAGAAUUACAGGCAGCUCAAACACAGGCUGAUUCCAAAGGCUGAAAUGGGCCACAGGGGAAAGUUACCAGGUGAAGAACCAGCAGAAAGAAGGCUUUCCAUGUUUUUUAUUAUUGGUUUUAACAUUGGAUUGUCAAGUUUUAAUCAGUUAACUGUUUAAAUGCCACUGUUGGCAUCUUAAACUGUUUUUAACACUUAAUAAAUAAAUGUUCUCAGUAUGCCUCA